Molecule: long non-coding RNA, 189 nt
Organism: Haliotis rubra (blacklip abalone)
Lineage: Eukaryota; Metazoa; Mollusca; Gastropoda; Lepetellida; Haliotidae
Exons: 4
Source: RefSeq, a predicted model, not a curated record
GGGACAUAUAGACCUGGAUAUAGGGCUGGGUAGAUCAAGGGGAAGGUGAGUGACUACAUGGGAGAUAUAGACCUGGGUGUAGGGCUGGGUAGAUCAAUGGGAAGGUGUGGGACUACAUAGGACAUAUAGACCUGGGUGUAGGGCUGGUUCAAUCAAGGUGAAGGUGUGGGACUACAUGGGACAUAUAGA